Small nuclear RNA from Castor canadensis (American beaver), 60 nucleotides. Its record names the gene U7. It matches the Rfam family "U7 small nuclear RNA". Rfam says of the family: Animal histone pre-mRNAs are spliced by a different mechanism than nuclear pre-mRNAs and self-splicing introns. This processing involves the U7 snRNP, which contains only one RNA species: U7. Lineage: Eukaryota; Metazoa; Chordata; Mammalia; Rodentia; Castoridae. The record is from Ensembl.
AAGUGUCACAGCUCUUUUAGAAUUUAUCCAGCAGGUUUUUUGGCUUAUGCUGGAGCCCCC